CGUUCCCGGGCCUUGUACACACCGCCCGUCAAGUCAUGAAAGUCGGUAACACCCGAAGCCGGUGGCCUAACCCUUGUGGAGGGAGCCGUCGAAGGUGGGAUCGGUGAUUAGGACU
This 115-nucleotide ribosomal RNA is filed under the name uncultured bacterium. Its description in RNAcentral is "partial 16S ribosomal RNA". It matches the Rfam family "Bacterial small subunit ribosomal RNA", at positions 1369 to 1482 of the family's 1533-position model. The record is from RNAcentral.